GAUGCAUCCGGAUGAAGUCUUCAUCGGCCGUUAUCGCGUUAUAUUGGGUCGGUGGGACUUUCGUCCGUUUGCAAG
RNAcentral lists this microRNA precursor (75 nucleotides) under Camponotus floridanus (Florida carpenter ant). RNAcentral describes it as "mir-278 microRNA precursor family". It matches the Rfam family "mir-278 microRNA precursor family". Lineage: Eukaryota; Metazoa; Arthropoda; Insecta; Hymenoptera; Formicidae. The record is from Rfam by way of RNAcentral.